GUGAAAGACGGUCUUGCUGUCACUUAUAGAUGGAUCCGCGCUGCAUUAGCUAGUUGGUAAGGUAACGGCUUACCAAGGCAACGAUGCAUAGCCGACCUGAGAGGGUGAUCGGCCACACUGGAACUGAGACACGGUCCAGACUCCUACGGGAGGCAGCAGUAGGGAAUCUUCCGCAAUGGGCGAAAGCCUGACGGAGCAACGCCGCGUGAGUGAUGAAGGUCUUCGGAUCGUAAAACUCUGUUAUUAGGGAAGAACAUAUGUGUAAGUAACUGUGCACAUCUUGACGGUACCUAAUCAGAAAGCCACGGCUAACUACGUGCCAGCAGCCGCGGUAAUACGUAGGUGGCAAGCGUUAUCCGGAAUUAUUGGGCGUAAAGCGCGCGUAGGCGGUUUUUUAAGUCUGAUGUGAAAGCCCACGGCUCAACCGUGGAGGGUCAUUGGAAACUGGAAAACUUGAGUGCAGAAGAGGAAAGUGGAAUUCCAUGUGUAGCGGUGAAAUGCGCAGAGAUAUGGAGGAACACCAGUGGCGAAGGCGACUUUCUGGUCUGUAACUGACGCUGAUGUGCGAAAGCGUGGGGAUCAAACAGGAUUAGAUACCCUGGUAGUCCACGCCGUAAACGAUGAGUGCUAAGUGUUAGGGGGUUUCCGCCCCUUAGUGCUGCAGCUAACGCAUUAAGCACUCCGCCUGGGGAGUACGACCGCAAGGUUGAAACUCAAAGGAAUUGACGGGGACCCGCACAAGCGGUGGAGCAUGUGGUUUAAUUCGA
Molecule: ribosomal RNA, 767 nt
Filed under: Staphylococcus aureus
Lineage: Bacteria; Bacillati; Bacillota; Bacilli; Caryophanales; Staphylococcaceae
Description: bacterial SSU rRNA
Rfam family: Bacterial small subunit ribosomal RNA
Source: RNAcentral